RNAcentral lists this ribosomal RNA (483 nucleotides) under uncultured bacterium. RNAcentral describes it as "bacterial SSU rRNA". It matches the Rfam family "Bacterial small subunit ribosomal RNA", at positions 28 to 511 of the family's 1533-position model. The record is from RNAcentral.
GAUGAACGCUAGCGGCAGGCUUAACACAUGCAAGUCGAGGGGUAGAAGGAGCUUGCUCCUUUGAGACCGGCGCACGGGUGCGUAACGCGUAUGCAAUCUACCUUUUGCAGAGGGAUAGCCCAGAGAAAUUUGGAUUAAUACCUCAUAGUAUGUGAGGAUGGCAUCGUUUUCACAUUAAAGUCACAACGGCAAAAGAUGAGCAUGCGUCCCAUUAGCUAGUUGGUAAGGUAACGGCUUACCAAGGCUACGAUGGGUUGGGGUCCUGAGAGGGAGAUCCCCCACACUGGUACUGAGACACGGACCAGACUCCUACGGGAGGCAGCAGUGAGGAAUAUUGGACAAUGGGCGCAAGCCUGAUCCAGCCAUGCCGCGUGCAGGAUGACGGUCCUAUGGAUUGUAAACUGCUUUUAUACAGGAAGAAACACUACUUCGUGAAGUAGCUUGACGGUACUGUAAGAAUAAGGAUCGCUAACUCCGUGCCAG